ACCUACGGGGGGCAGCAGUAGGGAAUUUUCGUCAAUGGGCGCAAGCCUGAACGAGCAAUGCCGCGUGAACGAGGAAGGUCUUCGGAUCGUAAAGUUCUGUUGAAGGGGAGAAAGAGCGGAGAGAGGAAAUGGUCUCCGAUUGAUAUUACCCUUCGAGGAAGUCACGGCUAACUACGUGCCAGCAGCCGCGGUAAUACGUAGGUGGCGAGCGUUAUCCGGAAUGAUUGGGCGUAAAGGGUGCGUAGGCGGCCUGCUAAGUCUGGAGUGAAAGGUACCGGCUCAACCGGUACAGGCUCUGGAAACUG
RNAcentral lists this ribosomal RNA (305 nucleotides) under uncultured bacterium. Its description in RNAcentral is "bacterial SSU rRNA". It matches the Rfam family "Bacterial small subunit ribosomal RNA", at positions 337 to 635 of the family's 1533-position model. The record is from RNAcentral.